RNA transcript from Macadamia integrifolia, 3876 nucleotides. It is a transcript of the gene named kinesin-like protein NACK1, with no coding region annotated. The record is from RefSeq and is a predicted model, not a curated record. Lineage: Eukaryota; Viridiplantae; Streptophyta; Magnoliopsida; Proteales; Proteaceae. The transcript has 16 exons.
UCAACAAAAGCAUUUUUAACCCUAGAAAUCAAGUCUCCUGUAACGCUCCUCUCUCCUUUCCUCCCUCAUCUUACUCGAUCUUACAAGUUUUUCUCUCUGCAUUUCGAUCUUUUAAAUCCCAAUUGUUCGCUGUCUUCCUGAGAUAUCGUCAAUUUUUGGUUUGGAUGUUCUUGCGUCGUCUGAUCCUAAGUUCUUGAUACCCGAGGAGAAGUUGAGAAGUUUCAGAGGCUCUUCCUUCUUCGGUAUUUCUGAUCAAUUGCUCUAGCCUCUCUGCGGGAGAGGCCUGGACUGUUCUCUUACCUGGUCUUCCUCUAAGUACCACCAUUAAGAUAUCUCAAUCCUUCAAAUCUAAUCAACAAGAUGACAAUUCGAACUCCAGCUACACCAGCUUCAAAGAUAGACAGGACACCAGCAUCCACACCAGGUGGGCACAAAGCUAAGGAAGAAAAGAUUGUUGUGACAGUACGGUUAAGACCUUUAAGCAAACGUGAACAGUCACAUAAAGAUCAAGUAGCAUGGGAAUGCAUUGAUGAUCAUAGUAUCAAAUUCAAGCCACCAUCUCAGGAGCGGUCGGUUGCGCCCGUAUCCUACACCUUUGAUAAGGUCUUUGGUCCUGCUUGUCUGACUGAGGCGGUCUAUGAGGAAGGUGUGAAGAAUGUUGCUUUGUCAGCAUUAAUGGGCAUAAACGCAACCAUAUUUGCUUAUGGGCAAACUAGUAGCGGAAAGACUUUCACGAUGAGAGGAAUAACGGAGAAGGCGGUAAAUGAUAUAUAUGAUCACAUUUCUAAUAAUCCAGAGAGAGAUUUUACAAUAAAGAUUUCUGGACUGGAAAUUUAUAAUGAGAAUGUCAGGGACCUAUUAAAUCUAGAUCCUUCUCGUAAUCUUAAACUUUUGGAUGAUCCAGAGAAAGGAACUGUGGUUGAGAAGUUGGUAGAAGAGACAGCAAAUAAUGAUCAGCACUUGAGACAUUUAAUCAGUAUUUGUGAAGCUCAAAGGCAAGUUGGCGAAACUGCAUUAAAUGAUACGAGCUCAAGAUCACACCAGAUAAUAAGGCUGACCAUAGAGAGUAUACUCCGGGAGAAUUCAGGUUGUGUGAAGUCUUUUGUUGCAAGCCUGAACUUUGUUGACCUUGCUGGAAGUGAAAGAGCUUCACAGACACAUGCAGAUGGUGCUAGGCUCAAGGAAGGGUGCCAUAUCAACCGUAGCUUGAUGACUCUCACAACUGUAAUCAGAAAGCUCAGUGUUGGAAAGAAAACUGGCCAUAUACCAUAUCGAGAUUCAAAGCUCACACGCAUAUUGCAGCACUCUCUUGGAGGAAAUGCUCGUACUGCUAUCAUCUGUACCUUGAGUCCAGCACUGAGCCAUGUGGAGCAAUCUCGCAAUACUCUCUCCUUUGCCACCCGUGCAAAGGAAGUCACUAAUACUGCCCAAGUAAACAUGGUUGUUUCAGAGAAACAACUGCUGAAAAAUUUGCAAAAGGAAGUAGCCAGACUUGAAGCAGAGCUCCAAACCCCUGAUCCAUCUAAGGAAAAAGAACAGAAAAUUCAGCAGAUGGAGAUGGAAAUUGAAGAACUGAGGCGCCAGAGAGAUCUUGCUCAAGCUCAAGUCCAUGAAUUGCGUAGGAAAAUGCAGGAGCAGCCGGUAUUGAACCCAUUUGAAUCAACCCGCCCAGUAGCAAAGUGCCUCAACUUUUCUGGUUCAUUAUCACCAAAACUUGAUGGGAAGGAAUCUGCUCGGGGUGAUAGAACAGGAAACACUCUGGGAAGGCAGACAAUGAGGCAAUCUUCAACUGCUCCCUUCAUGCUUAGGCAUGAAAUUCGGAAGCUUGAGCAGCUCCAGGAGCAGCUUGGAGAAGAAGCAAACCGGGCCCUGGAAGUUCUACAGAAGGAGGUUGCUUGUCACAGAUUAGGUAAUCAAGAUGCAGCUGAGACUAUUGCCAAGCUGCAAGCUGAUUUAAGGGAAAUGCGUGCUGUGAGGUCAACAGUAAAACAAGUUGAAAUGGGAGAAGCUGUUGCUGCUAACAAGAGUGUUAGUGCCAACCUCAAAGAAGAGAUCACUAGGCUUCAUUCACAGGGAAGCACCAUUGCCGAUCUUGAGGAGCAGCUUGAAAACGUUCAGAAGUCUAUUGACAAGUUGGUAAUGUCCCUCCCAAGUAAUAAUCAACAAUGCAAUAGCGAGGUGACUCCAAAAUCCAAGAGUCACUCAAAGAAAAAGAAAAUGCUUCCUUUAGCCACGAGUAACAGUGGUAACCUUCAAAAUCUCAUAAGAUCUCCGUGCUCACCUGUGUCAUCGUCUCGCAAGGUAUUGGAAUCUGAAACAGAGAACAAGCCUCCAGAAAACAAUGACAUUGUAUCUAGUGAAACUUUACUGGAACCCGAGAAAGUGACUCCAUCAAAGAUUGAAGACGGUGGAGAUAUAUCAUCAAGGGAAGGAACCCCCUGCUACAGGCGUUCGAGUUCUGUAAACAUGCAAAAAAUGCAAAAGAUGUUUCAGAAUGCAGCUGAGGAGAAUGUGAGAAGCAUUAGGGCAUAUGUUACAGAGCUGAAAGAACGCGUGGCCAAGCUGCAGUACCAGAAGCAGCUGCUCGUUUGCCAGGUAUUGGAAUUAGAAGCAAAUGAAGGUGCUGGAUAUGAUAUGGAGAAUAAUGAGAACUCAUCUGAGCUACAGGAGCCCCCUGUCUCAUGGCAUGUCACUUUUCAGGAGCAGAGGAAACAAAUUAUUGAGUUGUGGGAUGUGUGCCAUGUUUCAAUCAUACAUAGAACGCAAUUUUACUUGUUAUUCAAGGGUGACCCAGCAGAUCAGAUUUAUUUGGAGGUUGAGCUACGUAGCUUGACUUGGUUGCAGCAGCACUUUGCAGAACUUGGGGAUGCAAGCCCAGCCCGCUUUGGUGAUGAACCUACCAUCUCUCUAUCCUCAAGUAUUAGAGCAUUAAAGCGUGAAAGGGAGUUCCUUGCUAAGAGGGUCCAACAAUUGACUGUAGAGGAACGAGAUGCACUGUACAUAAAAUGGGAUGUCCCACUUGAUGGAAAGCAGAGGAAGCUACAACUUGUAAGUAAGCUAUGGCUAGAUCCUCAUGAUCGCAAGCAUGUAGAGGAGAGUGCUGAGUUAGUUGCGAAGCUGGUAGGAUUCUGUGAAGGUGGGAAAGUAUCAAAGGAGAUGUUUGAGCUGAAUUUCAUGGUUCCAGCAGACAAGAGACCGUGGACUCUGGGUUGGAAUCCAAUCUCUAAUCUUCUACACUUGUAAGAGACCUUCCUUGGAUCUUCUUUCAUCAUCAGUGUGAGAUUCAAGUACACGAUCAUUGUGUACCUUGUACCAAAAGCAGGAGCCUGCCAUUUGGGGUUGUUCGGCUUUAUCUGUUAUGAGACUUUGUUUUAUUCAAUGUCGAGUGCAAGAAGAAAUGGAGCGAAGAAAAUAUGCAGAAAUCGUUUGAAGGAUGGAAUUGAAGCCUGAUUCAAUUUGAUUCUUUGUCAAGUGCAAGAAGAAAGAGAGGGAAGAAGAUAUGCAGAAAUCGUUUGAAGGAUGGAUCUGAAGCCUGAUUCAUUUUGAUUCUUUUGUCAAGUACUAGAAGAAAGGGAAGGAAGAAGAUAUGCAGAAAUAGUUUGAAUCCUGACUCAUUUUGAUUCUUUGAUAGGCACAAGGCCAGGGAGGCAGGAGCAAGCUUCAUACAGUAGAAGGUCUGGGAGAAUGGAGGAGAAAGAAUGAAUGGGAGGAGAGAGUGAGAGUCGGAUCUCAGUGCAAGAGGCGUGUAGAAUAUUUUCCUUUUUUUAAAUACUUGCAUAAGUUUGUAUUGACUAGGAUGAAAAUGCCUCAUAAUGAAGAAACAGUAACAAUCAGUGUUUCACAGUUGCAACGUGUUCCACUCAAAACAAUUAAGCA